GGACCCCUCACCCUAUUUCCUAUCACAAUAUUAAAGGUAAAUAAAUAAUUAAACUGUACUUGUGACUUUAUAGAUGUAUAAUUGAUUAAGGUUGCCAAUGGAGCCCGAGUCUGAAACAGUGUUGGUCUGUUGUUGUUUGAUCUAAUUUUCAGUAUUAAAUCCAGUAUGAUGUUUGAUGUAUUUAUCUUAUGGUUUCGUAUGCAUGAAUCAUUGUUUCUUUUAUUAUGGUUUGAAUUAUGGUGAAUCCGAUGUUGUGUUGUUUUGUUUGGUGUUCAUUAUUGGUUUACGUGUUUGUGUAUGAUUGGAUAAUUGAGACCAAGAAAAAUGGAAAAAAGGUUAUGUGAAUUGAUAAAUGGAUAAUGUGGACAGCCUGACUAGAUAUCCUAGGA
This 389-nucleotide long non-coding RNA is filed under the name Carica papaya (papaya). RNAcentral describes it as "long non-coding RNA (CPAP_LNC014049)". Lineage: Eukaryota; Viridiplantae; Streptophyta; Magnoliopsida; Brassicales; Caricaceae. The record is from RNAcentral.